AACAGAUCAUUAUUAACAUUCUGUAUAUAAUUCAAUUUUAUUUACUCUCCCCUUUUUAUUAUUUUUAUUUUUAUUUUUAGCUGAAAAGACGUAAAGGCAGUCAGCCCAGUGGUGUUUCUGGAGAGGGAUUCCUUCAGAAAUGGAGAAGACAGAAAGCUGCGGAGGCAGAUAUUUGCAGCAGUCUAAAAUAUCAAGCUCAACAGCUCACUCAAGAGCCAACCCUCACAAACCUUCCUAAAAACUAAAAGAGCUAUUACUGAGUCUCAGGGAAUCUUGCCAUGAUCAGCUCUUCCCAGAAGAGAAGGAAGACCAAGGAAAUGAUUUGCUCUGGAUGAGAAAUGAAGAUGGCCAUCUUGUGCUCAAACAAACAGAAGUCCUCUGAUGAUCUCAUCAGCCAAAUGAGGGGUUUUGACCAAGUGAUGCUCUUGAAAGGAGUGAAAGAAGAGGAUGUGGUAAAUUCUCUUCAGAGAAAAAGCUUCUCAAAAGGUCUCAAAACAGCUUGAAGAAUGGUCUGGGAUCUUAGGACUGAGAAAUCCUCUGACUGAGAUAAGCUACACCACAUCAGUGCUGGAUAUCAACCACAAACUGUUUCCAGACACGAGAGAAGAAGAACACGAUGGGGAGAUGAAACCAGUUUAGAUGUGAUGAUGGGAAUCAUUAUUUUGUGGAACAGUAUCACAUGUCUUAUAUGUAUCACAUGAUCUGUAUCACAGUUGACUGAAUGGGACUGUGUGACUUUUAAGGACAUUUCAUCACUCAUCUGUGUGAACUGAUUUAUAUAUGAGGUUAAUGUAUUUUUGAUGAUAAUUAUUUUCAUUGAAUCUUAUUUGUCUUGAUGCUACUUUAUCAACUUUAUAGUCUAUGCUUCAAUAAAAUGAAAAUGGUGAAUAUUGUGUUCUGAAGAUUCUUG
Long non-coding RNA from Carassius gibelio (silver crucian carp), 910 nucleotides. RefSeq lists it as uncharacterized. Lineage: Eukaryota; Metazoa; Chordata; Actinopteri; Cypriniformes; Cyprinidae. The transcript is spliced from 5 exons. The record is from RefSeq and is a predicted model, not a curated record.